Etheostoma spectabile (orangethroat darter) is the source of this 976-nucleotide long non-coding RNA. RefSeq lists it as uncharacterized. The transcript is spliced from 2 exons. The record is from RefSeq and is a predicted model, not a curated record. Lineage: Eukaryota; Metazoa; Chordata; Actinopteri; Perciformes; Percidae.
UUCAGAGGCAAUGACCUUUAGAAACUUUAAAAACAAAGUGAUUUGCCUUAAGUUCCACAAACUGUCUGACCUAAUUUCCUAAUGUUCGCCUAUUGAGUAACACAAACAAAGAUAGUUGACAGUUGUCAUGGAUAGGUGGUACUUUUUUUAAUGGUGGCCCUUCUACUAUAGGUGUAGUGGUACACAAAGCUCAUGCAGUUUUGUGGUGACAAUACAGGAUGUUUUUUUGAUCAGUUUUUUCAGAAUUAAAGAAAUCCAAUAUGUGCUUUUAUUUUGGAAAAAAAACAGCACUAAACGGUAGUUCAUGGGUCAUAGUUAUCGUUGUAAAAUAUGCAUAUCAGAUAAAAGGUUUCAGUGGGUUCCUGACACAAAGUUAGUACAUCUUAUAUUGAAAGUUAAGUGAAUUAGGACAGAAUUCACCACUGAACAUCUUUGCUUAGUCCUACUAAAUGGUAAUUCCAGCCACACUACAAAAAUGACUCAAACAACUGUACUUCUUUUAUAGCAUCCAUAAUAACGUUGCAAUAUAUUGUUUUAGUGUGGUGUUGAUGUUGCUUUAAUCCCUCUAUGGGUUGUGAAACAGAAAUCUAUGCACUUACAGUUAGAAAUAUAGUUAGUACAGAAUUUAUACUUGAUAUUAUAUAUAGCAUGGCACUGGGUCACAGUGUAUACACACCCCAACUGUAAACGAUGUUAUUGUACUGCAGCAUCAUUGAAUGUCCAUACUUACAUCAUUAGCUGCAAUAAAAACAGCUGCAGCUCAAAGAAUCUUUGGAUUAGAUGUGUGAGAGGAAAAGGCACUGACAAUAAUAAGCACCAUAUUCAGUGGGGACUCAGUUGACUUUCCUAGAUUAAAAUCACCCUUUGAGUUACAGCUGUGUUUUCUGUGCCAUGACACAUGAGAAGCAGAGUAGAGCGAAUGCAGAAGAUCUCAAGUUCACUGUGUAGGGAUUCACUACAUUUGAAACCCAAACAA